GACGUAGGGCGCGAGCGUUGUCCGGAUUUAUUGGGCGUAAAGAGCUCGUAGGCGGUUUGUCGCGUCGUCCGUGAAAACUCACAGCUUAACUGUGAGCUUGCGGUCGAUACGGGCAGGCUAGAGUUCGGUAGGGGAGACUGGAAUUCCUGGUGUAGCGGUGAAAUGCGCAGAUAUCAGGAGGAACACCGAUGGCGAAGGCAGGUCUCUGGGCAUUAACUGACGCUGAGGAGCGAAAGCAUGGGGAGCGAACAGG
Molecule: ribosomal RNA, 253 nt
Filed under: uncultured bacterium
Lineage: Bacteria
Description: partial 16S ribosomal RNA
Rfam family: Bacterial small subunit ribosomal RNA
Source: RNAcentral